This 372-nucleotide ribosomal RNA is filed under the name uncultured organism. RNAcentral describes it as "bacterial SSU rRNA". It matches the Rfam family "Bacterial small subunit ribosomal RNA", at positions 526 to 896 of the family's 1533-position model. The record is from RNAcentral.
CAGAGACUGCAAGCGUUAUUCGGAUUCACUGGGCGUAAAGGGUGCGCAGGCGGCCAAGUGUGUGAGGCGUGAAAGCCCGAUGCUUAACAUCGGAAUUGCACCUCAAACUACAAGGCUAGAGCAUUGGAGAGGGUAGCGGAAUUCACGGUGUAGCAGUGAAAUGCGUAGAUAUCGUGAGGAACACCAGAGGCGAAGGCGGCUACCUGGACAAUUGCUGACGCUCAGGCACGAAAGCGUGGGGAGCAAAAGGGAUUAGAUACCCCUGUAGUCCACGCCCUAAACGGUGCACACUAGGUCUUGAUGGAUUCGACCCCAUCAGGGCCCAAGCUAACGCGUUAAGUGUGCCGCCUGAGGACUACGGCCGCAAGGCUA